AACGCUGGCGGCGUGCCUAAUACAUGCAAGUCGAACGGUCUUUCUAUGGAAGCUUGCUCCACUGAAAGAUAGUGGCGAACGGGUGAGUAACACGUGGGUAACCUGCCCAUAAGAGGGGGGAUAACAUCCGGAAACGGGUGCUAAUACCGCAUAGUUUUCUUGAUCGCAUGAUCGGGAAAGGAAAGACGGCCUUUGUGCUGUCGCUUAUGGAUGGACCCGCGGCGUAUUAGUUAGUUGGUGAGGUAACGGCUCACCAAGACGAUGAUACGUAGCCGACCUGAGAGGGUGAUCGGCCACAUUGGGACUGAGACACGGCCCAAACUCCUACGGGAGGCAGCAGUAGGGAAUCUUCCGCAAUGGACGAAAGUCUGACGGAGCAACGCCGCGUGAGUGAAGAAAGGUUUUCGGAUCGUAAAACUCUGUUGUCAGAGAAGAACAAGUUGGAGAGUAACUGCUCCAGCCUUGACGGUAUCUGACCAGAAAGCCACGGCUAACUACGUGCCAGCCGCUGC
This 512-nucleotide ribosomal RNA is filed under the name uncultured bacterium. RNAcentral describes it as "bacterial SSU rRNA". It matches the Rfam family "Bacterial small subunit ribosomal RNA", at positions 32 to 518 of the family's 1533-position model. The record is from RNAcentral.